ACGUACACUCCUACGGGAGGCAGCAGUGGGGAAUAUUGGACAAUGGGCGCAAGCCUGAUCCAGCCAUGCCGCGUGAGUGAUGAAGGCCCUAGGGUUGUAAAGCUCUUUUGUGCGGGAAGAUAAUGACGGUACCGCAAGAAUAAGCCCCGGCUAACUUCGUGCCAGCAGCCGCGGUAAUACGAAGGGGGCUAGCGUUGCUCGGAAUCACUGGGCGUAAAGGGUGCGUAGGCGGGUCUUUAAGUCAGGGGUGAAAUCCUGGAGCUCAACUCCAGAACUGCCUUUGAUACUGAAGAUCUUGAGUUCGGGAGAGGUGAGUGGAACUGCGAGUGUAGAGGUGAAAUUCGUAGAUAUUCGCAAGAACACCAGUGGCGAAGGCGGCUCACUGGCCCGAUACUGACGCUGAGGCACGAAAGCGUGGGGAGCAAACAGGAUUAGAAACCCCUGUAGUCCCAUGA
RNAcentral lists this ribosomal RNA (455 nucleotides) under uncultured organism. Its description in RNAcentral is "partial 16S ribosomal RNA". It matches the Rfam family "Bacterial small subunit ribosomal RNA", at positions 329 to 800 of the family's 1533-position model. The record is from RNAcentral.